RNAcentral lists this ribosomal RNA (397 nucleotides) under uncultured bacterium. RNAcentral's name for it is "bacterial SSU rRNA". It matches the Rfam family "Bacterial small subunit ribosomal RNA", at positions 360 to 774 of the family's 1533-position model. The record is from RNAcentral.
AAUCUUGCACAAUGGGGGCAACCCUGAUGCAGCGACGCCGCGUGAGCGAUGAAGCCCUUCGGGGCGUAAAGCUCUUUCGACCGGAACGAUAAUGACGGUACCGGGAGAAGAAGCUGCGGCUAACUACGUGCCAGCAGCCGCGGUAAUACGUAGGCACCAAGCGUUGUUCGGAGUUACUGGGCGUAAAGCGUGCGUAGGCGGUUUUCUAAGUUCGGUGUGAAAUCUCCCGGCUUAACUGGGAGGGUGCGCCGAAGACUGGGAAGCUGGAGUGUGGGAAAGGCAGGCGGAAUUCCUGGUGUAGCGGUGAAAUGCGUAGAGAUCAGGAGGAACACCGGCGGUGUAGACGGCUUGCUAAACCAAAACUGACGCUGAGGCACGAAAGCGUGGGUAGCAAACA